AGAGUUUGAUCCUGGCUCAGAAUGAACGCUGGCGGCGUGGAUUAGGCAUGCAAGUCGAACGAGAAAGCGGUUUUUAAUCGUGAGUAAAGUGGCGAAUGGGUGAGUAACGCGUGGGAAACCUGCCCUUGAGUGUGGAAUAACAUUUCUAACGAAAUGCUAAUACCGCAUAAUAUUACAGAUCGCAUGUUCUGUAAUCAAAGGAGGCCUCUAUUUAUAAGCUAUCGCUUAAGGAUGGUCCCGCGUCCAAUUAGCUAGUUGGUAGGGUAAUGGCCUACCAAGGCGACGAUUGGUAGCCGGCCUGAGAGGGUGUCCGGCCACACUGGGACUGAGACACGGCCCAGACUCCUACGGGAGGCAGCAGUCGAGAAGCUUCGGCAAUGGGGGAAACCCUGACCGAGCGACGCCGCGUGGGUGAUGAAGUCCUUCGGGAUGUAAAGCCCUGUCAUAUGGGAUGAAAAAUCGAUUGGUUAACUACCUUUUGAUCUGACAGUACUGUAAGAGGAAGCUCCGGCUAACUCCGUGCCAGCAGCCGCGGUAAUACGGGGGGAGCGAGCGUUAUUCGGAUUUACUGGGCAUAAAGGGUUCGUAGGCGGUCUUGAAAGUCAGAGGUGAAAUCUAACGGCUUAACCGUUAAAUUGCCUUUGAAACUACUUGACUUGAGGACGGGAGAGGAAAGCGGAAUUCUUGGUGUAGCGGUGAAAUGCGUGGAUAUCAAGAAGAACACCGGUGGUGAAAACGGCUUUCUAGCCUGUAACUGACGCUGAUGAACGAAAGCUAGGGUAGCAAACGGGAUUAGAUACCCCGGUAGUCCUAGCCAUAAACGAUGGGCACUAGGUGUGGGAGGUAUCGACCCCUUCCGUGCCGGAGUUAAUGCAUUAAGUGCC
This 884-nucleotide ribosomal RNA is filed under the name uncultured bacterium. RNAcentral's name for it is "bacterial SSU rRNA". It matches the Rfam family "Bacterial small subunit ribosomal RNA", at positions 8 to 868 of the family's 1533-position model. The record is from RNAcentral.